RNAcentral lists this long non-coding RNA (782 nucleotides) under Hordeum vulgare. RNAcentral describes it as "long non-coding RNA (HVUL_LNC005695)". The record is from RNAcentral. Lineage: Eukaryota; Viridiplantae; Streptophyta; Magnoliopsida; Poales; Poaceae.
UAAAUACUUGUCAUAAUAUAUUUUUAAAACAUAAAAUAGAUAAUUGACCGUGUGUUAUAACAUGUGAAUAAAUAUUCUAGUGGGUUAGCUCAUGCUUUACAUGCCCAUACUAGUGUGAUUUUUUAAAAAACCAAUAUUUUAUUUGGUAAUCACUACUGACAAAAAAACAAUAUUUGGUAAGUUAAUAGGAGGUGGGCAAUUGAUGUAACUUUUAGCGGAAAUCAGUGAAAUAAGCUAGAGAUGAGAAAAAAAAAUCAAAACAAAGAAAAAGGGAAGAGGAAGGGAGAACAUGCGUAAGGUUGGACGAAAUAGGACGAAUGAUAGAACCUUAGAUUAUUUUUUAAUUGAAAUUAGGUGAAGAGAAGAUACUAUUAAAAAUCUGAAUAUCUUCUUUGUUACAUCUCUUAAAUAAGAAAAAAUGAAGUGAAAAAACAGAAAAAAGGAAACUCAUGUAUGCAUGCGCUGUCUCACAGCGAGACAUGUGUGCAUGCAGGGCGGUUCACUCACGCAGGCAUCCUCGUCUAACCAUGGGCGCUCGGUGCAUACACGCCUUAGUGCGCCGAAAAUUAGAGCUGUUUGUGAAAGUUCUACAAGCUGCGUCGACUGUGUUUAUAACCUUUAAUGCGUUUCUUUCUUGGGUCUCAUCGUUUUGUGAAAGUUCUCUAUGUCCUUUUGUUGGGUUUCAUCGGCUUUCUUUCAGUUUGCAGUUGUUUUAAGUACAUGUAAACUAUUUGUAAAUUCAAUUAAAAUAUUUUGGUAUACAUGAAACUUUUCAGAUAAAU